GACGAACGCUGGCGGCGUGCCUAACACAUGCAAGUCGAGCGGGGUAGCCGGAAGGUGUAGCGAUACAGCGGAGGGGUACCUAGCGGCGAACGGGUGAGUAACGCGUGGGCAAUCUGCCCCCGGGGGCGGGAUAACAGACCGAAAGGCCUGCUAAUACCGCAUGAAGCCGUCCUAUCGCAUGAUAAGACGGUAAAAGGGGAAACCCGCCUGGGGAGGAGCCCGCGUCCCAUUAGCUAGUUGGUGGUGUAAAGGACCACCAAGGCGAUGAUGGGUAGCCGGCCUGAGAGGGUGAACGGCCACAUUGGGACUGAGACACGGCCCAGACUCCUACGGGGGGCAGCAGUGAGGGAUUUUCGGCAAUGGGCGAAAGCCUGACCGAGCGACGCCGCGUGAGCGAAGAAGGCCUUGGGUCGUAAAGCUCUGUCUAGGGGAAGAGGAAGGACGGUACCUCUGGAGGAAGCCGACGGCUAACUACGUG
Molecule: ribosomal RNA, 478 nt
Filed under: uncultured bacterium
Lineage: Bacteria
Description: bacterial SSU rRNA
Rfam family: Bacterial small subunit ribosomal RNA
Source: RNAcentral